AUGACACAUCUCCAACAGCUGAGCCCCCAUCCACUAGUGGUGCAUGGACAUAAUGUAUUUUCUCAAGACCAUCGUGAUUGGUCGAUGCUUCUGAAUCAUUUUGACCACGUCAGCAUUCUUAAUCUCGGGCUUUACUAUAUGCCGGUCAUAGGUUACGGCCAAUUCUUGAUGAAAGAGAUGACAAAGUUUCCUAACAUUACCAUCUUGAAGCUGGAAGUACUAGCAUGUGGACAUUCCUUUGGAGCCAGCUCGUUCCAUCUUCUAAGGAUGUCUAGUGGUAUAAGAGAGCUGAAGCUUAAACUUCUUGACAUGCCGAGGGGACUGGAGGGACAAAUUGCGUGCCGAUCAGGUUGCAGGUGUGUUGAGCCAUCAAACUGGGAAACCAAGGAACUCGUGCUCCGUUGCCUUGAAGAAAUAGAGAUCGAUGGCUUUAUAGGAACUGAACAUGAACUCGCUCUGGUGAGAAGGUUAUUCAAGUGGACAACAAUGUUAAAGAGGAUGACAGUACAUUUCAAUGACUCGGUCACUCAAAGCAAGGGGAAAGAGCUUUGCCAGCUGUUACUGAGCUUCUCUACGCCAGAAAUAUGUAUGAAAUUUCUGCACUAA
Molecule: ribosomal RNA, 606 nt
Filed under: Triticum aestivum (bread wheat)
Lineage: Eukaryota; Viridiplantae; Streptophyta; Magnoliopsida; Poales; Poaceae
Description: partial small subunit ribosomal RNA
Source: RNAcentral